AUUGAACGCUGGCGGCAGGCCUAACACAUGCAAGUCGAACGAGUGGCGGACGGGCGAGUAAUGUCUGGGAAACUGCCUGAUGGAGGGGGAUAACUACUGGAAACGGUAGCUACUACCGCAUACCAUCAGAUCGGCCCAGAUGGGAGUAGGUAGUAGGUGGGGUAAUGGCUCACCUAGGCGACGAGCCCUAGCUGGUCUGAGAGGGUGAACGGCCACACUGGAACUGAGACACGGGCCAGACUCCUACGGGAGGCAGCAGUGGGGAAGAUUGGACAAUGGGCGCAAGCCUGAUGCAGCCAGGCCGCGUGUGUGAAGAAGGUCUUCGGGUUGUAAAGCACUGUCAGCGGGGAGGCGUUACUCGCAGAGGAAGCACCGGCUAACUCCGUGCCAGCAGCCGCGGUAAUUC
RNAcentral lists this ribosomal RNA (406 nucleotides) under uncultured bacterium. Its description in RNAcentral is "partial 16S ribosomal RNA". It matches the Rfam family "Bacterial small subunit ribosomal RNA", at positions 29 to 526 of the family's 1533-position model. The record is from RNAcentral.